Molecule: non-coding RNA, 2343 nt
Organism: Maylandia zebra (zebra mbuna)
Lineage: Eukaryota; Metazoa; Chordata; Actinopteri; Cichliformes; Cichlidae
Source: RefSeq, a predicted model, not a curated record
AGUUAUCCAAUGUUGCCCUGAAGGAUGAAGGCAGCUACACGUGCAUCUUCACCUUGUUUCCCAGUGGAAAUCAGAAGACAGAAAUACCUCUAAACUUGCUUGUGCCUCCUUUCACAAGCAUCAAGGACAAUCUUCCCACUUUGGGCACAGAAGAGGUUUUAUUUGCUACCUGCACGGCUGCUGGAUCGAAGCCUCCUGCAGAGGUGAGGUGGCUCACUGGUGCUUUGGGAGACAAAGUGAGGACGACAACAAAUUCCACACAGUAUGACAAUGGCACGACUACCACAGUCAGCUCUCUGUUUGGUGUUCCUAUGAGAGAGAUUAACGGUCACCAGGUCCAGUGUGUCAUCAGAUAUACAGAUCUACUUCUCUCCCACAGAAGUGAACAUCAGAGCAAAAUCUGAGGACUCAUUUGAGUGUGUGACAGAAGCCAAUCCAAGUGCAAAUUUUACAUGGAGCAGAUCUGGCCAGUCAUUGCUGCAGUCUGCUGUCAAAGUAGACGGUGCAAAGCUACAACUGCUGAGCUUGACCUCUGAUCUAAAUGGCCUCUAUCAGUGUGAAGCAUCUAACACAUAUGGAAGUAAACACGGUCAGCUUUAUGUGCGUGUGGCAUCAGGAGCAUGCUCUGCUGCUUGGGUCUUAUUUGGUGUUUUGCUUUUCCUGAAUGUUGUUGGUGCUGCAGCAUGGUACUUUUAUAAACGUGGAUGUUUUCAAAGUAGGAGGUCUUUAAACCAACAUGGUGGCAAGCAGCAUGACACAAAACUUCACCAGAGUGUGAGAAACGAAGAUCACGGACCAGAGGAAGAAGACCUACAGAGAGAUCAAGAGGAAUCUCUCUGACAGCAAAGAUGAACAUUAUUUGGACUGAAGGCUCCACCAACAUGUCAUUUUAAAGUCAGCUGGUAAAUAAACAGAUGAAGAACAGAUGCCCCUGCCUGAACAGGACACCAUACGUGACACAUGAACCUGCAACAGGGUCUGGACCACAGACAGAUUAACUUAAAAGCACAGGGAUAUGAGACAAACACAGGAACAUGACCGCAGAAACAAAGGGUAACAAAACAGGGAAACUAGACACAAAAGGAAACUCAUAUAACUUAACAGCCCAGAGGUAGAAAAAAUAAAGGCAGUUGUUAAAGAAAACAAAAGUCACGACUAAAAAUCUCUUAAAUCCAAAGGAAUGAAUCACAAGACCAUAAUAAAUUCAAAACUUGGUUGAAGACCCACCAUGACACAUGCAUGUUUUAAGAUUGGAUUAUAUGAAAGUCAAACUCAAUUCAAUUCAGUUCAAUUCAAUUUUGUUUAUAGAGCAUACACAGAGCUUGACUUUAGUCUCUUAGUCUUGAGUUUAUCUGUAUUUCUAGUUCAAGGUGUCUUGUUUGAUAUUAGGUUUGUCUUUGUGUCAUUUGUGUCUUGUCCUCUGCGUCUCGCUGUGAAGUCAGUCUUGACUCCAUGUUUAUUUGCCUAUCUGUUUCCUCAGUCAUGUCUCUCGCUCUCUCUCUCUCUUCACAUCUCUGUGUCCGUGUCUCAGCAUUUGUGUGUUCCUGUUUACUUUAGUAGUCAUCAUCUCAUGUGCCUCGUGUUCUGCUUUACUUCCCCCAUCUCACCAUGUCUAUGUUUCUCUAGCUGUGUUCCCAUGUUCCCUGUGUCCACUUCUCCUAACCACCCUCCUGUGUAUAUAUUGCGUCCGUCUCCCCUUGUCCUUGUUCCGUUAUGUUCCAAUCGUGAUCCUGUUAGUUAGACAGUUUGUAUUUAGCUUCCUUUUCAUUAAAAGGCUCUCCUUUGGCUGAAACUCCUCUGUUUUGCCUCCAUGUCUGCAAUCCUGGGCCCUCUUUCACCACAGCAGCAAAACAGAGAGCUGCAAUCUUUUGGAAGAUUGAAACAAAAAACACAGGUUUCGGGAACCACUGUCAACAGCUACCACAGGAUGGCAGUAAUGUUAAGGAUGGAUUCAGACAGGUGGGGAGCUUUAUAGUAACACUGUUCAAGAUGAAAGGAGAAAAAAUGUUUUACUUUGGUAGGUUUUCAUUUAUGUUUAUUUUUAGACUUGACAAGCCUGCCUUUCUUGUCCUGUAUGCCAUGUGUUAAAUUACAGUGAUGUGAAAUGAUUCAUGGUUAAUGAUAGAAAUACAGUGAAAUACUUAAAUUAAAUUACUUAAAUUAUUUGUUACUUGAUUUUAUCUAAUUGUUGUUUUUUUCCCCACUUGCUUGGUACAACCUUACCCGUAAGGAUACAAUAUCACAUCACUCAGACUUUCACAUUUUGUCUUUUUUGCACAUUAUGCAUUUGAAAAGCACCAUGACAGUAUACAGCCAAUGUAAGAUAAGAUAAGAUAAGACCAC